CCUACGGGUGGCAGCAGUGAGGAAUAUUGGUCAAUGGACGAGAGUCUGAACCAGCCAAGUAGCGUGAAGGAUGACUGCCCUAUGGGUUGUAAACUUCUUUUAUAAAGGAAUAAAACGAGGCACGUGUGCCUUUUUGAAUGUACUUUAUGAAUAAGGAUCGGCUAACGCCGUGCCAGCAGCCGCGGUAAUACGGAGGAUCCGAGCGUUAUCCGGAUUUAUUGGGUUUAAAGGGAGCGUAGAUGGGUUGUUAAGUCAGUUGUGAAAGUUUGCGGCUCAACCGUAAAAUUGCAAUUGAUACUGGCAGUCUUGAGUACAGUCGAGGUAGGCGGAAUUCGUGGUGUAGCGGUGACAUGCUUAGAUAUCACGAAGAACCCCGAUUGCGAAGGCAGCUUACUAAACUGUGACUGACAUUGAUGCUCGAAAGUGUGGGUAUCAAACAGGAUUAGAUACCCCUGUAGUC
This 460-nucleotide ribosomal RNA is filed under the name uncultured bacterium. RNAcentral's name for it is "partial 16S ribosomal RNA". It matches the Rfam family "Bacterial small subunit ribosomal RNA", at positions 338 to 795 of the family's 1533-position model. The record is from RNAcentral.